RNAcentral lists this ribosomal RNA (1295 nucleotides) under Hebius vibakari (Japanese keelback). RNAcentral's name for it is "partial 16S ribosomal RNA". It matches the Rfam family "Bacterial large subunit ribosomal RNA", at positions 435 to 2606 of the family's 2925-position model. The record is from RNAcentral. Lineage: Eukaryota; Metazoa; Chordata; Lepidosauria; Squamata; Natricidae.
UACACAAACAUCCACCCAUAGACUAAACAAACCAUUUGACUAACUAAGUAGAUGAGAUCGAACAGCAAACACACCUCAUAGUACCGUAAGGGAAAUAAAGCACUAAAGCAAAAAACAGCAAAGACUAACCCUUGUACCUUUCGCAUUAUGGUUUAGCAAGAAAACAAGGACAAGAAGAGUCAUAGCCCACACCCCCGAAACCAGGUGAGCUACUUUUAAAGCAGCCUACAGGGCACACCCUUCUCUGUAGCAAAAGAGUGGGAAGACUUAAAAGUAGAAGUGAAACGCCUAUCGAACCUGGAGAUAGCUGGCUACCUAAAAAGGAAUAUUAGUCCCACUUUAGAUUAAAACAUAACCACUUAUUACCUAAAGACAAUCAAUAGGGGUACAGCUCUAUUGAAACAGGAAACAACCUGAAUUUGAGAGGAAAAAUCAACACAUAACCAGUAGGACUUUAAGCAGCCACCCAACAAAAUAUCGUUAAAGAAUUAUUAUAAAAAUCCCAAAACUAAUUAAAAACUCCAAACAAACUAAAGGUAAGCCCAUCCCUAUGGACAAAAUCAUGCUAAAACUAAUAAUAAGACGACUUCUCUACACGCACCUAUCCCCUAGAAACGGAACAACCACUAGCCAUUAACAGACCACAUUAGGAAACAUAAUUAAAUUAUACCCACCUCUACAUAAACUGUGACCCCAACACAGGAGCGUUAAAAAGAAAGAUUAACUAUUAUAAAAGGAAUUCGGCAAACAACGACCCCAACUGUUUAACAAAAACAUAACCUUUAGCCUAAACAAGUAUUAAAGGCAACGCCUGCCCAGUGAAUAAUUAAACGGCCGCGGUACCCUAACCGUGCAAAGGUAGCAUAAUCAUUUGUCUAUUAAUUGUAGACCUGUAUGAAAGGCAAAAUGAGGGUCAAGCUGUCUCUUAUAGUAGAUCUAUUAAACUGAUCUUUUAGUAAAAAAGCUAAAAUGAUAACAUAAGACCAGAAGACCCUGUGAAGCUUAAACCAAACUAUUAAACCAAAUAAUAGCUACUUUCGGUUGGGGCGACCUUGGAAACAAAAAGAACUUCCAAACACCAAUGCUUAAACACCAAAUAUUAGGCCCACAAGCCAACUAAACGACCCAGCAAAGCUGAUAAUCGAACAAAGUUACUCCAGGGAUAACAGCGCUAUCUUCUUCAAGAGCCCAUAUCAAAAAGAAGGUUUACGACCUCGAUGUUGGAUCAGGACAUCCUAAUGGUGCAACCGCUAUUAAGGGUUCGUUUGUUCAACGAUUAAUGUCCUACGUGAUCU